Long non-coding RNA from Dromaius novaehollandiae (emu), 686 nucleotides. RefSeq lists it as uncharacterized. Lineage: Eukaryota; Metazoa; Chordata; Aves; Casuariiformes; Dromaiidae. The record is from RefSeq and is a predicted model, not a curated record. The transcript is spliced from 2 exons.
UCCAGCAUCCCGCCAGCCUGCAGUGUACCUGCUCCAGGUGUGCUUCUCCAAGCGCUGCAAGCUUAGAGUUCGGCAGCAACACAAGCAACGGAGACGAAUAUCUCUAUGGCGGCCUCCUUCUUCCACCCUGGCCUCCCACACCAGGCUUGGGAGGGUUCAGCAGAAGCUCUUCCAGGGACAGUGCCACCACGCAGGAGGAGAACACUGCAGAUGCAGGUGCGCCUGGCACGGGCAGGCUCGAAGCACUGACCAGCGACGAGGCCUGAGCGGGCAGCACGCUGGGCUAGGCACACCGACACCGAGCCAGACUGGGGCCGUGCGGUGGGAGACGGGCACCGGGGCCACUGAGGCACGACGAGAGCGACGCCGAUGCUCGGACACGUCAGCCAGAGCCCAGCAGAGCCCUGGCGAAGCACCGGCCCGUGCGCCCACAAACUCACCUCCCCGCGUGCCCACAACUCUGUUGCCCAAAGCGCAGAGAGUCUGCGGCCGCUGCCCCAGGCCUGCGCCUGCUCCAGAGCGUGCCCGCAAAGCCACAGCCGGCCCCGACACCAGGCCACGGCACCGUCCCUCCGCCCAGCCUGCCCGCACCGUGCUCCUCCGUCUCGGGCCGGCGCCAUCAUUGCGCACGGCCACCCGCACGAGGAGGCCCCUGGGCAAUAAAGACAGAGAGGAGGCAGAGCUCA